This is a long non-coding RNA of Corticium candelabrum, 395 nucleotides long. RefSeq lists it as uncharacterized. The transcript has 4 exons. The record is from RefSeq and is a predicted model, not a curated record. Lineage: Eukaryota; Metazoa; Porifera; Homoscleromorpha; Homosclerophorida; Plakinidae.
GUUUGUCACGACUUGUGCGGUAUUUACUGUCUUUCCGAACGCUCAGGGUCACGUUACUGUUGCAAGGCAGUCAAACGCAGCAGCACAAGUGUAACAACCAUGUAGGAGUUUUCUUUCAUCAACAGAACUGCUGGACUACAAAUUUUUUAACAAACUGGUGGCAUCACCACAGACUGCACAACUGAAGUGAAUAGAUUCUCGGCACAUGAAGCAUAUAGUUGGGAGGUACAGAGUGAGACCAACUUGGAAUUGGCUGCGUUGGUGAACUACAUCACACCAGUCAGAUUCAAGAGCUUCGAGGAUGCGCACACUUCAAGAAGGUGUCGCCUUGCCAAGUCCAGAAAGACUGAAAGGGAAUAUAUUGAUAUAGAACAAGAAAAAGGCGGCAGCAAAAG